UUUUGAAUAAAGUUAACCAAAACAUAACUAGUGACCACACUCCAUGUUAGAGUAUAUGCAGAAAUGGAUCCCAACAACGAAAAGCAAAGGAAAAAAUGCGGCAUAGUAUAACAAUAAUCAAGGUUUUUAGAUACCAGUCACAUGUUAUGUUGAUAAUUCUUAUUAAAAGGGUUCGUUAAUAAUUAAAGAAAAUAAAUAAAGCUGUGUAACAAUGAUGUCAUUACCAUUUCCAUUUCCAUUUGUAGUCUUCAGCCUCAAAGCUCUCAGGUUCAUCAUAUCUCUCUAUAGCAUGCAGUGCCG
This 300-nucleotide long non-coding RNA is filed under the name Brassica rapa (field mustard). RNAcentral's name for it is "long non-coding RNA (BRAP_LNC000662)". Lineage: Eukaryota; Viridiplantae; Streptophyta; Magnoliopsida; Brassicales; Brassicaceae. The record is from RNAcentral.